GGGCGGAACCGAUUAGGGCGGAGCGGAGGGAAUGUGAGUUCUUACCAUUGCCUGACGCUACACAUGCAGAGGGCCUAGCCGAGAAGCCAGCCGGGGCUGAGGGAAGGACGGCUCCAGCGAAGCCGGGAACAGCGGAGGGAAGGCUUUGGGGACUGAGCUCCCUGCCGUGCAGGGUGAGAGCUAUGAGGAGCUACCCUUUGGACGGGUCUGUAGAAGACAGGGCCUCCCUCUGUCACCCAGGCUGGAGUGCAGUGGUGCAAUCACAGAUCCCUACAGCUUCAAACUCCUGGGCUCAAGUGAUUCUCCUCCUGAGUAGCUGGGACUACAGGCUGGGAAGUUCCAGAUUGGACGGCUGCAUCUGGCAGCUUCUGGUGAGAGCUGUGUGCUGCACCAAAAUGUGGCAGAGAAAUGGAAGGCGGACCAGGCACCUGGAGGAAAGGGGGAAAACACGAGGGGCGACCUUGCUUGAUGACAACCCAACUCUGAAGGUAACUGAUCCAGACCCAAGAGAGUGAGAACUCACUUCUAUGGGACUUGCAUUAAUAUCCUGUCGUGAAGGCCCAUCCCUCAUGAUCCAAACACCCCUGAAAGGUCCCCCCACGUCUCAAUGCCGUUAUAUUGGCAAUUAAAUUUCAACAUGAGUUUUGGUAGGGGCAAACCACAUCCAAACCAUAGCAUCUUCUCACUGUUGAGUCACUUUUUAAUGUGGCUAUUAGAAAAAUUUAAAUGACAUGUGUGUUUGCACUUGUGGCUGUUUUGCAUCCGUAUCUGGUAUACAGUGCUGCUCUAGUAGUGAAGGUGGAGCGCCCCGAGUGAGAUGACCCCGAUUUGCCUCGGGGGGAAGUGGAAGGGCGUGGCCUGGUGUUCAGCAGUGGAGUGUGGGAUCACGGAGGGACAGCUGGAUCUCAUUAAGGUGAAGUGGAGGGGCAGGGUUCACGGAGGCACACACUGAGGAAGCUUCUGCAGCAGUGAGUUGAGGGAGUGGUUAGGCUUUGUGGGUAGGGGACUGAGCUGUUUGAGGGUAUCUGUAAGAGGCUGUGCAGCAAGGCAGGUGGCAAGAAGCAAGAUGUUGGCUGGGCAUGGUGGCACAUGCCUGUAAUCCCAGCACUUUGGGAGGCCAAGGCAGGAGGAUUGCUUGAGGCUGGGAGUUUGAGACCAGCCUGAUCAACAUAGUGAGACCACGUCUCUAUAAAAAAUAAAUCAAUAAAUAAAAUUUAAAAAGCAAGAUGUUGCCAAGCAGUUGGCCAAGUGGUGAGUAUGAAAGAGAGAGACCCUGCCCUGAGGGCUUUCUGUCUCUCACCCACCUGGAUCAGCACACAGCAUGUAUUUGUCUUCCACUCCAAGCCUACAUCCUGGCCCCUGUUGGAGAAGGGCUCUGACCAGUUCACUGGCAGAAUAUGAAAAUUGUAUGUUAAGACAUGCACGGCAUGAAGCCCUAAGAAGCCAAGAAUCCUUUCUUUUCACAGCAGGAGAAGGCCUCUGGCUGUUUCCCUGUGUUGACUGGAGGCUGAGUCUCUGUCCUCGACACCCCACCCGCUGCUGCCUCCUCUGCCCUGCCUGGGGAGCCCUGCCUUGCCUGGCCCUGUGCUGGGAACGGCCAGAGCUGGGGCUUCUUGCGUUUCCUGUUCACACCCGCAGAGCCAGCUUUGCCUUCCCCUCUGCUGUGCAGGGAGAAGGGAGGUGGGAGGUGCGGAGGGGAUGGUCCUGUCUGUGGCUUCCUAUUUCUUGGCUGGCAGGAGAAAGGCAGGCUUUCUGUGUCUAUGUCUCUGUGGUCUUUCAGACUCAGCACUUGGGUAGGAAGAUGAAAACCUCGGAGUGCCCCUUGUCUCUUUCCCUUGGGUCUGAUUAGACCAAAGGCUGGUGUGGUGGAGGAGGUGAAAGGACCUGGCACGGGGAGGCUGGAAGCCCAGCGCUGCUCUGCUCACUUUCCCCUCUGCCAGCCUUUGUUACCAAAAGGUCUGGACUUGAUCUUGGAAAUGCAUCAUUUCUUGAUCCUUCUCUAGCCUUUAGGGACAAAUAUACUAGAAGAAAAUGGUCAAGACAAUUGGUGCCACCAGCAGGAGGCAUAGCAAGGAAGCAGGGGGUGAAAGGGUUUCUCCUUGAGAGAAGCAAGCCUCUGAGUCCAAGGCCCUCCACCAAGCGGCUCUGGUCCAGUGUUCCAGCCUUAUUGCCCAUCCUGCUCCAUGUAUGGAGUUGGGGGUUGUCACCACACACAAACACAACGUUCUGCCAACUCACCCUCCUCGAUGUCUCUGUUCAUCCCCUCCUUCCCAUUUCCUCCACUGGACCACCGCC
RNAcentral lists this long non-coding RNA (2295 nucleotides) under Homo sapiens (human). RNAcentral describes it as "novel transcript". Lineage: Eukaryota; Metazoa; Chordata; Mammalia; Primates; Hominidae. The record is from RNAcentral.